This 429-nucleotide ribosomal RNA is filed under the name Bacteroidota bacterium. Its description in RNAcentral is "Bacteroidetes bacterium partial 16S ribosomal RNA". It matches the Rfam family "Bacterial small subunit ribosomal RNA", at positions 355 to 776 of the family's 1533-position model. The record is from RNAcentral. Lineage: Bacteria; Pseudomonadati; Bacteroidota.
UAGGGAAUCUUCGGCAAUGGGGGGAACCCUGACCGAGCAACGCCGCGUGAGUGAAGAAGGUUUUCGGAUCGUAAAACUCUGUUAUUAGGGAAGAACAAAUGUGUAAGUAACUAUGCACGUCUUGACGGUACCUAAUCAGAAAGCCACGGCUAACUACGUGCCAGCAGCCGCGGUAAUACGUAGGUGGCAAGCGUUAUCCGGAAUUAUUGGGCGUAAAGCGCGCGUAGGCGGUUUUUUAAGUCUGAUGUGAAAGCCCACGGCUCAACCGUGGAGGGUCAUUGGAAACUGGAAAACUUGAGUGCAGAAGAGGAAAGUGGAAUUCCAUGUGUAGCGGUGAAAUGCGCAGAGAUAUGGAGGAACACCAGUGGCGAAGGCGACUUUCUGGUCUGUAACUGACGCUGAUGUGCGAAAGCGUGGGGAUCAAACAGG